CGUCAAAUCAUCAUGCCCCUUAUGACCUGGGCUACACACGUGCUACAAUGGAUGGUACAAAGGGCAGCGAAGCCGCGAGGUGAAGCAAAUCCCAUAAAACCAUUCUCAGUUCGGAUUGCAGGCUGCAACUCGCCUGCAUGAAGCCGGAAUCGCUAGUAAUCGCGGAUCAGCAUGCCGCGGUGAAUACGUUCCCGGGCCUU
Molecule: ribosomal RNA, 200 nt
Filed under: uncultured organism
Description: partial small subunit ribosomal RNA
Rfam family: Bacterial small subunit ribosomal RNA
Source: RNAcentral